Molecule: ribosomal RNA, 253 nt
Filed under: uncultured bacterium
Lineage: Bacteria
Description: partial 16S ribosomal RNA
Rfam family: Bacterial small subunit ribosomal RNA
Source: RNAcentral
UACGGGGGGGGCAAGCGUUGUUCGGAAUUACUGGGCGUAAAGGGCUCGUAGGCGGCCAACUAAGUCGGAUGUGAAAUCCCCAGGCUUAACCUGGGAACUGCAUCCGAUACUGGAUGGCUUGAAUCCGGGAGAGGGAUGCAGAAUUCCAGGUGUAGCGGUGAAAUGCGUAGAUAUCUGGAGGAACACCGGUGGCGAAGGCGGUUCUCUGGGCCUGUACUGACGCUGAGGAACGAAAGCGUGGGGAGCGAACAGG